GUUUUAACAAACUGAGUUAAACUCUCAAAAUGCUUAUUUUAAACCUUUAGAAACUAUGGUAGUCAAAUCCUUUGCCUCUACCUCCUUAUCAUCAGCUUAAAAGAAAGAUUUUCAGCUCUGCAAAACUGAUGGCAGUGGGAUCUUAUAAUAUAUUCAGCUCUGCAAGACGUCGCAGAUGUGGAGCCCACUCUAAAGGAGUUGCAGU
Molecule: unclassified non-coding RNA, 205 nt
Filed under: Hevea brasiliensis (rubber tree)
Lineage: Eukaryota; Viridiplantae; Streptophyta; Magnoliopsida; Malpighiales; Euphorbiaceae
Source: RNAcentral